GCGUCUGAGGCGCGGGUGUCGCGCGGGUCUGUGCUGUCGGCUGAAGUGGCUCUGCCAGGCGCUCCGGACCGCACGGUCAGGCAGUGAGCGUGACCGGGGCACGGGGUGUUCCGUGCGAGGCGCCGCGGGACUGCGAAGAGACAGGCGGCGGUCGGGAAACGUGAGUGGAUUUGGGAUGCCCGGCGCCGCCUCCUGUCCCCAGAGCGCUGGCCCAGGCGACCCUGCUCUGAUGGCGGCGACGUCCGUCCCUGGCCGCUCAGGGCAGGGAGGCCUGGGACUGCGGAGCGCGGAGCACCGGCCUCGGUCGUGGAGGAGAAAAAAAAAAAAAACCGGAUCUACUUGGACACCCGGCUCGGAUUUGCUUCCCGCAGCGGGUGCCGCGGAGGCGAAGUAACUUGCUUAAAAUGGGGCCACUGGUGAGGACCAACGAAGAGGCGGUGCGCAGACGCGAUGUUACACUGCGCAACUUAAUGCAUCCGUCCCUGCGCUCUUGUCGGAAUACUACCGCCUAGCCCUUCCAGGUGCUUCGGUGCAGGGCUUCGUGUAGUGGAGGAUUAGGUUACGCCGCACGGAGCAGCGCGUCUGUCCCUGCCUCUUGGGGGUCACGGGACUUGCCAGCCGCGGACACCCCGGGAGUCACUCGCGAGAAUUAACUAUUUAGGAAGCUUGCUUCAGGAAAGGAACAUUCCUAGAGCGAUGGUUCUUAACCUUUUCGGUGGGGGAGGGGUUUAUGGCUGUUGAGCAUUUGAAAACCUAAAGGUUUGUGCAUCCGUGGGUGCUUGUAGAGGACAAGUUCGCAUACGAUUUCCCGUGCGUGGGAGCCCUCCCUAAAAGCCCAUCCUCGGACCACUGUGUUAGGGACUCCUUAUCCAGCUCGAUUGCACACACAAGGGUUAAAGAAAGGUGGUCCCUCGGGCGCCUAGGUGGCUCGGCUUUUGAGUUCAGCUCGGGUCAUGAUCUCCAGCCCCGCCAUCAGGCUCUGUGCUGACAGCUCAGAGCCUGGAGCCUGCUUCAGAUUCUGUCCCCCCACUCUCUCUGCCCCUCCCCCACUCGCAUUCUGUCUCACUCAAUAAACAUUUUUUAAAAAUUAAAACAAAAACCAGUGGUCCCUGCGUUGGCCAUUUAAAAGAAAGCCUGAUGUAUUCCCUGCCCUUAACGGUGACUUCCCCUAGGAAUCCAAAAAGGUAGAUGUUGCCAGAUGUUUGGUUUUCCCCCAGAGGAUAGAUAAUGAAAAAAAUGUCCAGCCAGGAAACUGGAUUAGUUGUUGCCUGACUUUGUCUCACUGUCCUUGUUAAUUGUAUGUGUAACUAGUCCAAGAACGUUGACUAAUCAUGUGUCAUCGCGUGGGCUCUAAUGCUGUGCUCAUUAGUGGUUUUGUUUUUAUCAGUUUUUGCAGUACAGCUCCUUCUGGGUGAUAUGUGACUUAUCAGAGCUAUCCGUUUGGUUAGUGCCGGAACCCAGGUCUCACUUCAGCCUGACGUCCCAUUCCACAAGCCCUUUCAACAACCGUCGAACAGCUGCCUAUGUUGGGGACUCCACAGAUGUUUGGUGCCGAGCCAGGUGGCCACUCAUGUCUGCCGUCUGUCCCAGACAUCAGUACAAAAGGAUUAAGACAAACUGCUACAUCUUGUACAGCUGUUACUUAUUUUCUCGUGAUGCUUUACGGUCUCUGAAAAAGCAGUAGCGGUAUUUAGCAUGUUUAAAAAAAUGCUCAAAAUACCGUGAAUUGUAUAGAGUAGCCUAUCGUAUCACGUUUCUGGGAACAAGAUUUUGCCAACAAGAAUUAAAAGAAUGAGAGAAAACCGUCAGGAGAUACUGUGGCCCAAUGAUGGCAGAGGCAAAAAUUGUUCUGGGCUCUGAAGCGGGAGAGAUCCCCGCAGAGGGCGUGAUGAAGGACGCGUUCUCAGCACUGGGGCUGAGUGGCCUGCAAGGUGAAUGGGUUUCGCGUACGUGGAAAGGGGGCAGAGGUGGCGACGGAACGGUGAAGUGACUAAGGUGCACGAGUCUUCGAGACAAAGCCAGAGAGAGGCUGCACAAGAGCACGUCCGCCACGUCUUUGCAGAGAUCCGGCUUGCUUCCAUUUCCCGCCAUGUCUAACGUGUUUGGAAUAAGACGCUUUUCUCCUUUCUGGUCACUGGUGCCUCCGAGUGAUCAACAGUGUCGAGGUUUGCUGAGCGCAGGCGCUUUCCUAGAUGCAGCCGAGGAUGGUGCCUGGCCUGCCUCUGAGGACUCUUCGGAAUAACGUAAUGCAAACGCGCUGUGAGACUUGUCCUCAACCAGCCCACAGUCUUCCUGCACCUGGUCUGUCGUGGCGCCUCCAAGUUGACGUGCUUGGAUCCUUCAUCUGUUUUUGUGGCUCGCCUUCUCUCAUUCUUGGCCUUCUUUCUGCCUGUCCACCUGCCACCCCUGCCACAUACUUUUUCUCCGAGUCUGUGGCUUUCGGGGACUCUUCUGGUAGGGAGGAGGAGAGGGAUAGAUGCAUACGCGUUUAGCAGUGAACAAAUAAAUGCCUGCACGUGAUGUAACUGCCAUGUGACCUAAGGUCGCAUCACGUGGAGUAUAGUACUUGAAACAAGGGAGGUGGUCUCUUCUGACUCUUGAGUAGGCGCGAGGUGGCAUAGAGGGUAGAGGUUAAGAAUGCAGGGCUCUGGAGACAGGCUGCCUACAUUUCAGGACCAGCUUUCAUUUCCUAACUUGGUGGCCUUGAGCAACAUACUUAACUUCCAUGUCUGUUUCCUCAUUUCCAAUAUGGGGAACAAUAAUAGUAAUCUUAUCUGAUGGAGUUGUUGGCAUUAAAUUGAAGUUCUGUAAUUGAAGUGCUUAGAAGGGAGCCUGGCACAUAAGUACUCCAUAAAAGUUAGUUUUUACAGUUGUCGGUUCCUGGAAGCAUUCUUUAAAGAAGCGUGCAGACGCAGUGUGGCCGACUUCGAGGGUGUGACUGUGGGGGUAAGGGGACAGGCCAUGCGCUCCAAGUGAAGGCCGCAGGAAUCAGGGAGGCCGAGACUAGAAAAGAAAACUCAAGAGGAUGUACGUUUUUUUUCAGAGAUCUGUGGACGUCUCCUCUUGUGUUUGUCAUCUGUCACAGUGUGUAUGGCCCCAAAGUGAUGGCCUUUGUAAUAGUCUUGGAGGAGGUGAAGGAGGCAGGGGGGAUAGGGGUGACAGGUGUAUUUCCAUGAUCACGUCAGAGUCCAGAUUCCAGUUCUGUCCUCACCACGUUUGACCUGCAGCUUUACUCACAUCUUUGGUAGCUCAGUUUAUUGAUCUGUAAAAUGGAAAUAAUAAUGACUUGUGCUGUUUUCAUGGAAAGAGGUGACAGGGAUGCUAGCGGUUUGUAGUGGGGCAGCAGGGUACCUGCAGGUGUCCGAGAUCUGGCCCUCAGCCUGGCAGGUGUAAGCUUCUGUUAGUAACUUGCCCACAGGCGAUUUUGGCGACAGACUGAUGCUAAUUUCUCUCUUUCAGCGCUGGAGUAGUGGCCCCCCAAAAGAUGUAUCCAUGGUCCUCGUUUCCAAAUAAAGUAGCAUUUACAAA
Molecule: long non-coding RNA, 3528 nt
Organism: Prionailurus viverrinus (fishing cat)
Lineage: Eukaryota; Metazoa; Chordata; Mammalia; Carnivora; Felidae
Exons: 2
Source: RefSeq, a predicted model, not a curated record